AAAGUAAGCACUUUCAGAGCCCGACCCUUCAAGGAGCUGCUGCUGCAGAAGGGAGAUUCUUCAAGCAAUCACUAUGUCAACAGACACAGGUGUUUCCCUUCCUUCAUAUGAGGAAGAUCAGGGAUCAAAACUCAUUCGAAAAGCUAAAGAGGCACCAUUCGUACCCGUUGGAAUAGCGGGUUUUGCAGCAAUUGUUGCAUAUGGAUUAUAUAAACUGAAGAGCAGGGGAAAUACUAAAAUGUCCAUUCAUCUGAUCCACAUGCGUGUGGCAGCCCAAGGCUUUGUUGUAGGAGCAAUGACUGUUGGUAUGGGCUAUUCCAUGUAUCGGGAAUUCUGGGCAAAACCUAAGCCUUAGAAGAAGAGAUGCUGUCUUGGUCUUGUUGGAGGAGCUUGCUUUAGUUAGAUGUCUUAUUAUUAAAGUUACCUAUUAUUGUUGGAAAUAAACUAAUUUGUAUGGGUUUAGAUGGUAACAUGGCAUUUUGAAUAUUGGCUUCCUUUCUUGCAGGCUUGAUUUGCUUGGUGACCGAAUUACUAGUGAC
Homo sapiens (human) is the source of this 539-nucleotide long non-coding RNA. The record is from Ensembl. Lineage: Eukaryota; Metazoa; Chordata; Mammalia; Primates; Hominidae.